RNAcentral lists this ribosomal RNA (483 nucleotides) under uncultured bacterium. Its description in RNAcentral is "partial 16S ribosomal RNA". It matches the Rfam family "Bacterial small subunit ribosomal RNA", at positions 30 to 508 of the family's 1533-position model. The record is from RNAcentral.
AUUGAACGCUGGCGGCAUGCCUUACACAUGCAAGUCGAACGGUAAUAGGUCUUCGGAUGCUGACGAGUGGCGAACGGGUGAGUAAUACAUCGGAACGUGCCCGAUCGUGGGGGAUAACGAGGCGAAAGCUUUGCUAAUACCGCAUACGAUCUACGGAUGAAAGCGGGGGAUCUUCGGACCUCGCGCGGACGGAGCGGCCGAUGGCAGAUUAGGUAGUUGGUGGGAUAAAAGCUUACCAAGCCGACGAUCUGUAGCUGGUCUGAGAGGAUGAUCAGCCACACUGGGACUGAGACACGGCCCAGACUCCUACGGGAGGCAGCAGUGGGGAAUUUUGGACAAUGGGCGAAAGCCUGAUCCAGCCAUGCCGCGUGCAGGAUGAAGGCCUUCGGGUUGUAAACUGCUUUUGUACGGAACGAAAAGCCUCUUUCUAAUAAAGAGGGGUCAUGACGGUACCGUAAGAAUAAGCACCGGCUAACUACGUGC